GAUGAACGCUGGCGGCGUGCCUAAUACAUGCAAGUCGAGCGAACAGAUAAGGAGCUUGCUCCUUUGACGUUAGCGGCGGACGGGUGAGUAACACGUGGGUAACCUACCUAUAAGACUGGGAUAACUUCGGGAAACCGGAGCUAAUACCGGAUAACAUUUUGAACCGCAUGGUUCUAUAGUGAAAGACGGUUUUGCUAUCACUUAUAGAUGGACCCGCGCCGUAUUAGCUAGUUGGUAAGGUAACGGCUUACCAAGGCGACGAUACGUAGCCGACCUGAGAGGGUGAUCGGCCACACUGGAACUGAGACACGGUCCAGACUCCUACGGGAGGCAGCAGUAGGGAAUCUUCCGCAAUGGGCGAAAGCCUGACGGAGCAACGCCGCGUGAGUGAUGAAGGGUUUCGGCUCGUAAAACUCUGUUAUUAGGGAAGAACAAACGUGUAAGUAACUGUGCACGUCUUGACGGUACCUAAUCAGAAAGCCACGGCUAACUACGUG
RNAcentral lists this ribosomal RNA (497 nucleotides) under uncultured bacterium. RNAcentral's name for it is "partial 16S ribosomal RNA". It matches the Rfam family "Bacterial small subunit ribosomal RNA", at positions 28 to 507 of the family's 1533-position model. The record is from RNAcentral.